CCUACGGGUGGCAGCAGUGAGGAAUAUUGGUCAAUGGACGCAAGUCUGAACCAGCCAUGCCGCGUGAAGGAAGAUGGCUCUAUGAGUUGUAAACUGCUUUUGUACGAGGGUAAACUCAGACACGCGUAUGUGUCUGAAAGUAUCGUACGAAUAAGGAUCGGCUAACUCCGUGCCAGCAGCCGCGGUAAUACGGAGGAUGCAAGCGUUAUCCGGAUUUAUUGGGUUUAAAGGGUGCGUGGGCGGUCGGAUAAGUUAGAGGUGAAAUCCCGGGGCUCAACUUCGGAAUUGCCUCUGAUACUGUGCGGCUAGAGAGUAGUUGCGGUAGGCGGAAUGUAUGGUGUAGCGGUGAAAUGCUUAGAGAUCAUACAGAACACCGAUUGCGAAGGCAGCUUACCAAGGUACUUCUGACGUUGAGGCACGAAAGCGUGGGGAGCAAACAGGAUUAGAUACCCGUGUAGUC
This 460-nucleotide ribosomal RNA is filed under the name uncultured bacterium. RNAcentral describes it as "partial 16S ribosomal RNA". It matches the Rfam family "Bacterial small subunit ribosomal RNA", at positions 338 to 795 of the family's 1533-position model. The record is from RNAcentral.